Molecule: long non-coding RNA, 1497 nt
Organism: Acyrthosiphon pisum (pea aphid)
Lineage: Eukaryota; Metazoa; Arthropoda; Insecta; Hemiptera; Aphididae
Exons: 5
Source: RefSeq, a predicted model, not a curated record
AAAUCGACGACUUACCAUAAAAAAAAAAAAAUAAAAUAAAAUAGCAAUCAUUAUUCAUUAAUAAAGUUUCUUAAGACAAUGACGAUUUUUAUCAUACAGUACUUAUUAUUCUUAAAUAUUAAAUAAAAGGUAUCAAGGCCGUGUUCAUAGUCGAUGCUUAAGAAUAAGCAUGGUUUAAGCUUAUUUUGAUACUAACUGUACAACACAUAGGUACUUAAAUCAUUAUAUAAUCAUAUUAUUAUAAUAUGCAUUUUUGUAGUUGUCUUAUUUAUGUGCUGACCUACAAAUAAAAUUAUUGAGUUUUAAAAAAUACGAACAAAGUUACGCGUAGUUCUUCUUCGUUAAUAAUAAAUAGGUAUACAUAAACGCAUGGUGUAUAAUUAUGAAAAGAUACAGUUGCAUUGGUAUAUUUUAUAAAAUUAAUGGUUAAAGAGCUAUAAAAUAUAUUAUGCAUAUUGGGUUGCGUGACAACAAAAUUAUUAUACUUUAAAACUAUAGCUGAAGUCACGCAUUUGUAUGUUUAAGAAAUUACUCAAUCCAGGAACCACCUAGCUGCUAUAUGAAAUUCCAUUUUAUUACCCAAGUCAAUCUCAUACGUUCGGCAGUCACCAGCAGUAUGCAAGCGGUCUGCAAAUCUUAUAAAUUAAUUUUAUUACAUUUUUAAUUUAUUAAGACGUUCAAUGAUUAUCCACUGCGAAGGAUAGAAAACUUAAAACAAGGAUCCAUUUAUUUUAUGUUCAAAAUUGAAGGAAAUUACUUAUUAAAUAACGUCAGAUUUGAUUAAACAGAAAUCUAUGGCAUUCUGGCGGUAAUACCCGAUUGAACCGUCACGGGUGUUCACUGGUGAUGUAUCUUCACUGAAUGACCAAUUAACUGACCGUCGCCGUGAAAUACAUGGUCAUAUACAAUAUGGUCGUUAACUUGUGGAAGGGCACUCUGAGGAAUUUUGGUUCAAAUAAGGCAUCGCGCAAUAAUGAACCCCUGAUGUAUUUCUGUUUAAAAAUAACCAACGAUAUGAUGGAAGAAAUAUUAAGAGCUGGACUAAAAACUUAAAAAUAUGUUUAAGCUAAUGGCGGAAAAUUGGAUAAAAUUGAAAGUUUUUUUUCAUAUAAUUAGACAUCUUGCAGUAAAAAAAAAUCAACACAAAUUCUUAUGGAGUAGAAACUAAUCAUUUUGAAAUUACUUAUAAAUCAAAAAUUACAAAGGAAUCUAUUAAGGAACCUAUAGAUGCUAAAUCAUUGUCACACCUAUAAAAAAUAUUUUUUUUACAUAUAUGCGAUCAUGUAUAUGACGGCGACGGUCAGUUAAUUGGCCAUUUAGCGAAGUUAAAUCACCAGUGAAAACCCGUGACGGUUCAAUCGGGUAUUACCGCCAUAACACCAUAGAUUUCUAUUUGAUCGUAUCUGACGAGAAACGUACAACUAUUGAUUAUGAAAACUAAUAUAUUAAACACAUAUAAUAAUUACAAUUAUAAAUAAAUGGUACAACGCACACUAU